Molecule: long non-coding RNA, 462 nt
Organism: Coregonus clupeaformis (lake whitefish)
Lineage: Eukaryota; Metazoa; Chordata; Actinopteri; Salmoniformes; Salmonidae
Exons: 3
Source: RefSeq, a predicted model, not a curated record
CUCAUGCUUCUCUCUCGCUCUCGCUCUCUGCCUGUCUGUGUCUUUCACUCUUUCUCUCUCUCCAUGAGAGGGUAAACCUUAACUGAAUUUGUGGGAUUGGCCUUAAUGAGGGAUGUAGAUAAGGACAUGUGUCAGAGAACUUCUACUACGACUGCAACUGAGCGUGAGCAAGUCUUUUCCAGAGUAGACCAAUGUUAGAGCCAUACGAUGCAAGCUUUCCUUCUGUUAAACAUUAGCCUGUAUCUGGCUGUUGGGAGCUUGGCCCAAUGACCUCACCCAUGCAGCUCACCACCUUUGAUGGAAGGCAAGAUAGCAGUGACCAGUUUCUACGACAUCGUGAUGGGAGUUGAAGACCCCUUCAUCCUUCCUGGCUAAGCAGAACAGCGACGGCACAUUGCCAAGUUACUUUGAUGUUUUAGAAUAUUAACAACAGUUAACAAAAUGUUAACACAAUUUUUUAAA